GAUGAACGCUGGCGGCGUGCUUAACACAUGCAAGUCGAACGGUGAAGGCGGAGCUUGCUCUGCUGGAUCAGUGGCGAACGGGUGAGUAACACGUGAGCAAUCUGCCCCUGACUCUGGGAUAAGCGCUGGAAACGGCGUCUAAUACUGGAUACGAGCUGCGAAGGCAUCUUCAGCAGCUGGAAAGAAUUUCGGUCAGGGAUGAGCUCGCGGCCUAUCAGCUUGUUGGUGAGGUAAUGGCUCACCAAGGCGUCGACGGGUAGCCGGCCUGAGAGGGUGACCGGCCACACUGGGACUGAGACACGGCCCAGACUCCUACGGGAGGCAGCAGUGGGGAAUAUUGCACAAUGGGCGAAAGCCUGAUGCAGCAACGCCGCGUGAGGGACGACGGCCUUCGGGUUGUGAACCUCUUUUAGCAGGGAAGAAGCGAAAGUGACGGUACCUGCAGAAAAAGCGCCGGCUAACUACGUG
RNAcentral lists this ribosomal RNA (468 nucleotides) under uncultured bacterium. RNAcentral's name for it is "partial 16S ribosomal RNA". It matches the Rfam family "Bacterial small subunit ribosomal RNA", at positions 28 to 507 of the family's 1533-position model. The record is from RNAcentral.